GCCUGCUUGGCUUAGGGGUAGAGCGUUGCUCUCGUAAAGCAAAGGUCGAGUGUUCGAUUCACUCAGUAGGCA
This is a non-coding RNA of Pilobolus umbonatus, 72 nucleotides long. The record is from the annotation of a GenBank genome assembly. Lineage: Eukaryota; Fungi; Mucoromycota; Mucoromycetes; Mucorales; Pilobolaceae.